AUACUUAUCUGGCAGGGAAGAUACCAUCAUCAGGAAGGUAGUAUUUUCUUGGUGAGGGUCCUUGACUCCAGAAGUACUGACCUCUGCAAUUUUCCCAAAAGUGGGAAACUCAACUGCGUUACUUGUGGUAGUGGGGGGCUGUGUUUAAACUUUCACCUG
Small nuclear RNA from Globicephala melas (long-finned pilot whale), 159 nucleotides. RefSeq annotates it as U1 spliceosomal RNA. NCBI's taxonomy places the organism in Eukaryota, Metazoa, Chordata, Mammalia, Artiodactyla, Delphinidae. The record is from RefSeq and is a predicted model, not a curated record.